This 2554-nucleotide long non-coding RNA is filed under the name Salmo salar (Atlantic salmon). Its description in RNAcentral is "lncRNA (ENSSSAG00000066394.2)". Lineage: Eukaryota; Metazoa; Chordata; Actinopteri; Salmoniformes; Salmonidae. The record is from RNAcentral.
CUACUAUCUGUUGCUCUCCCUCUCCAGCUAACUUUCUUCCUGUCCAUCUCUCUCUAUCUCUUUGGAUCUCAAUGGGAUGGUGCUGGCUAUAGCUGUCGCUCUCUCCCUCUCUGAUUCUCUUCAUCCCUUUUUUUCAUUGUCUUCCAUCAUCCCUCCAUCCUAAGGCUCUGGCUCCUCCGGCCGGUGCCCUGUCAUUUUUCCCGUGGGCGGCAGCGAGAUAUGAAGCGUCGCCAUGGGUUUCAUGGAAUUCUACUUGGAGAUUGACCCCGUGACCCUGAACCUCAUCAUCCUGGUGGCCAGCUACGCCAUCCUCCUCCUUGUCUUCCUCAUCUCCUGCAUCCUGUACGACUGCCAGGGGAAGGACCCCACCAAGGAGUACGCCCCCGCGCCCCCCGCACCCCCCAGCCAGUCGCCCAUACGCCUUGUGGUCAUGCAGAACUCUCCUGCCUCGUCUCGCUAUGAGCAGCAGAAUCAGAACAACAUGGCUGGUCCAGAACCCAGCAGAAAGCCAGAACCCAGCAGGAACCUGGAACCCAGCAGGAACCUGGAACCCAGCAGAAAGCCAGAACCCAGCAGGAACCUGGAACCCAGCAGGAAGCCAGAACCCAGCAGGAACUUGGAACCUAGAAGGAACCCAGAACCCAGCAGGAAGCCAGAACCCAGCAGGAACCCAGAACCCAGCAGGAAGCCAGAACCCAGCAGGAAGCCAGAACCCAGCAGGAACCCAGAACCCAGCAGGAAGCCAGAACUCAGCAGGAACCACUACGAGUACAACAGGAACCACUACGAGCCGCCGGCGCUGACGCCCACCCCUGACCUGGGGAGGGAGAAGAGGAGCACCCUGGUCUGAGAAGGAGAGAGGGAGGAGGUGGGGGAGUCCAUGACUUAAGAGAAGAGAGAUACUAAGUUCUGGAUUUGACACUGUGGAGGAGAGAGGGAGAAGGUGAGGGAGUCCAUGACUUAAGAGAAGAGAGAUACUAAGUUCUGGAUUUGACACUGUGGAGAGAGGGAGGAGAGGGGAGAUUCGGUUGUAUAGACAAGGCCUGGACUGGACUAGACUGGACUGGAUGUAAAUUGCUGCUGUUUCAUUUAGUAUUUUCUUUUUGCUCUGUCGAUUUUUUUUAUUUUGAUCGUUGAUGUAUGAUGUUGCUGAGAAGGUGGGACCUGGCAGGUAGAGAGGCUGCAGUAAGGGAAUCCCCCCACCCACAUGCUCGGAGAAAGAUAAACAGGCACACACUCGCACGGCAGCAGAUCAGUAUGGAGUCACCAGCACUCAGAAACCAGAGGACCUCUGACAUUAUGGAAUCACCCUCCUCUCUCUCCUGUUCACCCCAUCGCUACAUCGUUGGGCAUGACGAUGCCAAAGGACCAGUAGACGACACCCUGCCACACCUCACUAAGAAUGAACCGCAUUGGGAUCAGGUUCUACAUGUAUAAUGAUGGAACUAUGAACUAAUGGAGAACUGCAAUACCCAAUAGCAUCCAUGUAGUCCACACUACUUCAUAGAAACUGGAGGAGACAUCCAAGCCACAAUGGAACAACAACUUUCAUUAAGACCAGCUACUUCAUAGAAACUGGAGGAGACAUCCGAGCCACAAUGGUACAACAACUUUCAUUAAGACCAGCUACGUCAAUGAAGAGACUGACGGUUGAUUGGAGCAGGAUGUCCUGUGACUGUUCUCCACUCAGCCACAUCAAGCCUCAGUCACGGCAAGUCAUCUGCUCUGCCACGACUUUGAAACAACCAACGGUCAGAGAGUCGUGAUACCGAGGGACUUGACAAGCUAAAGCCUCUUAUGUAAAAAAACAAACAAGGGCCUUGUCAGCUCAGUGCCCAUCGAGACCAACCAAUGACUUGACCAAUCACAGAGCCCCAUUUGCAAUAUGAAUAGCAGCAAAUGAUAUUUCCCCCAUGUUUCAUGUUUGAGGGAUUAGAGUCCAACUCAAGUAUUAUGGGAGAGCGAGGGUUACGUAUUCUUUCUGAUGUUUGCUCUGCUUUGCUUUGGUCCUCUCUGCAGGGUAACACACGUUUCUUCUUGUUAACAGACCAAAAACAUUUUGGUCAUAUUCUGGAUUUGACGUAGGUGGUAGUGGGACUAAUAAGGAUUGGACAUCAGUUAAGGGACUUAGUCUAGGGAGGGAGAUAUUUGUGGCACGCAAGACGGAGGAUUUAAAAUCAAACUUGACUUGAGCCAACGUUCAAAUGAACUUGUAAGCCUGGGGCAUAUUCAUGAGUUAUGAAAUGGAAGCAAACAGGUUGAAACAGGGUGGAAUUUUCCCAAUAAGAACCAAUUGUUGUCUUUUUCUGUUGCAAAACAUUUUGCUACGGUGUGUACACUAAUGAAUAACACCCAGGUUUUGGGGAGAAGUUAGACAUGUUGCUCUCAAAACACAGUAUAUCCUUUAUCAAAUGUUAUAUUUAUGGUACAUUAUUAACAUACCGCUAGAAUAUAUAGCACAUUAAAUAAAAGUAUCACAAAGUAUCACUGUUGCCCAAGCCCCUGUAAAUAACAUUGUAUAAAAAAAGAUGAAUAAAAAACCCUGAAAACUAAA